CGACCGGGCCACGCAGCCGCGGGCACAGGGGGAAACCCCGUGCAUGAGGAAAGUCCGGGCUCCACAGGGUAAGGAUAACGGGUAACGCCCGCCGAGGGUAACCUUAGGACAAGUGCAACAGAGAUAUACCGCCUGCGUUCGCAGGUAAGGGUGGAAAGGCGAGGUAAGAGCUCACCCACCGUCCGGAGACGGAACGGUGCUGUAAACUCUAUCCGGAGCAACGCCGUGGAGGGACAUACAGGCUGACCCGGCCGUCCCGAGGAGGCGGCUUGAGCGCAGCGGCAACACUGCGCCUAGAUAGAUGGCUGCAAAAGACAGAACCCGGCUUACAGACCCGAUCGCACC
RNAcentral lists this RNase P RNA (345 nucleotides) under Candidatus Apopatocola equi. RNAcentral describes it as "RNase P RNA component class A". It matches the Rfam family "Bacterial RNase P class A". From Rfam's summary of the family: Ribonuclease P (RNase P) is a ubiquitous endoribonuclease, found in archaea, bacteria and eukarya as well as chloroplasts and mitochondria. Its best characterised activity is the generation of mature 5'-ends of tRNAs by cleaving the 5'-leader elements of precursor-tRNAs. Cellular RNase Ps are ribonucleoproteins. Lineage: Bacteria; Bacillati; Bacillota; Clostridia; Eubacteriales; Oscillospiraceae. The record is from RNAcentral.